This 545-nucleotide long non-coding RNA is filed under the name Phoenix dactylifera (date palm). RNAcentral's name for it is "long non-coding RNA (PDAC_LNC020725)". Lineage: Eukaryota; Viridiplantae; Streptophyta; Magnoliopsida; Arecales; Arecaceae. The record is from RNAcentral.
GUAAAUGUAACUGGUGAUGAUCAUGGAUCCAGGAUGGGUCAUAGUACAAGCACAUGCACGUCAAUUGGUUUGAUCGUCUUCAACUCUUGACUCGAUUUUGAUCCCUUAGGUUCAAUUGUAAUCAACUCCUUGAUCCAUCUUCAAUCAACCUAUGAUCUCAAUCCGCGCAAGGCUUGCUUGUAGGAGGCAUACAUCGAUCAACCAUCGACGUGCAACAUACAUCACAGAUUACAUCCCAGAUAAAAUUCAAAAUAAAAGAAUAAUUACAACCCUUUUUCGAUGCGACACGCAGGUCUCUAAUACAUGAAUUUAAGAUGCUCACAGGCAUCUGGAAAAAUGAUUUACAUGUUAUCACAUAACAUCACAGAACAUUUCAGGCAUUGCAGAACAUUUCAGCACAUUCACAAAAGGGUCAUCCAUGAUCAUCACCAUUCGCAUCACAUGCAUAAUUUUAAUUUACAUAUCUGAAACUUAAUUGAUUACCUCAUCUCAUGAGUCGCUGAUCAUGCAAGGGAUGAUUCUUAAAUAAUUGUAAUCAUAUUAAU